GCCAGACUCCUACGGGAGGCAGCAGUGGGGAAUAUUGCACAAUGGGGGGAACCCUGAUGCAGCGACGCCGCGUGAGUGAAGAAGUAUUUCGGUAUGUAAAGCCCUAUCAGCAGGGAAGAAAGAAGACGGUACCUGACUAAGAAGCCCCGGCUAACUACGUGCCAGCAGCCGCGGUAAUACGUAGGGGGCGAGCGUUAUCCGGAUUCACUGGGUGUAAAGGGAGCGUAGACGGCCGUGCAAGCCAGGAGUGAAAGCCCGGGGCCCAACCCCGGGACUGCUCUUGGAACUGUGCGGCUGGAGUGCGGGAGGGGCAGGCGGAAUUCCUGGUGUAGCGGUGAAAUGCGUAGAUAUCAGGAGGAGCACCGGUGGCGAAGGCGGCCUGCUGGACUGCGACUGACGUUGAGGCCCGAAAGCGUGGGGAGCAAACAGGAUUAGAUACCCCGGUA
RNAcentral lists this ribosomal RNA (446 nucleotides) under uncultured bacterium. Its description in RNAcentral is "bacterial SSU rRNA". It matches the Rfam family "Bacterial small subunit ribosomal RNA", at positions 330 to 792 of the family's 1533-position model. The record is from RNAcentral.